Molecule: transfer RNA, 76 nt
Filed under: bacterium
Lineage: Bacteria
Also listed under: 2 other names
Description: tRNA-Ala
Rfam family: tRNA
About the family: Transfer RNA (tRNA) molecules are approximately 80 nucleotides in length. Their secondary structure includes four short double-helical elements and three loops (D, anti-codon, and T loops).
Source: RNAcentral
GGGGUCAUAGCUCAGUUGGUAGAGCGCCUCCAUGGCAUGGAGGAGGUCUGGGGUUCGACUCCCCAUGGCUCCACCA